RNAcentral lists this ribosomal RNA (293 nucleotides) under uncultured eukaryote. RNAcentral describes it as "partial 18S ribosomal RNA". It matches the Rfam family "Eukaryotic small subunit ribosomal RNA", at positions 6 to 304 of the family's 1831-position model. The record is from RNAcentral.
GGUUGAUCCUGCCAGUAGUCAUAUGCUUGUCUCAAAGAUUAAGCCAUGCAUGUCUAAGUAUAAACACUUGUACUGUGAAACUGCGAAUGGCUCAUUAAAUCAGUUAUAAUUUAUUUGAUAGUACCUUACUACUUGGAUAACCGUGGUAAUUCUAGAGCUAAUACAUGCAUCAAAACCCGACUUAUUGGAGGGUUGUAUUUAUUAGAUAAAAACCAAUGCAGCUUGCUGCUCUUGGUGAUUCAUAAUAACUUCUCGGAUCGUAUGACCUUGUGUCGACGACGUAUCAUUCAAAU